Molecule: ribosomal RNA, 230 nt
Filed under: uncultured bacterium
Lineage: Bacteria
Description: partial 16S ribosomal RNA
Rfam family: Bacterial small subunit ribosomal RNA
Source: RNAcentral
AAAGGGCGCGUAGGCGGACAGUUAAGUUGGGGGUGAAAGCCCGGGGCUCAACCUCGGAAUUGCCUUCAAUACUGGCUGUCUUGAGUACGGGAGAGGUGUGUGGAACUCCGAGUGUAGAGGUGAAAUUCGUAGAUAUUCGGAAGAACACCAGUGGCGAAGGCGACACACUGGCCCGUUACUGACGCUGAGGCGCGAAAGCGUGGGGAGCAAACAGGAUUAGAUACCCUAGU